Molecule: transfer RNA, 75 nt
Filed under: Chthoniobacter flavus Ellin428
Lineage: Bacteria; Pseudomonadati; Verrucomicrobiota; Spartobacteria; Chthoniobacterales; Chthoniobacteraceae
Description: tRNA-Arg
Rfam family: tRNA
About the family: Transfer RNA (tRNA) molecules are approximately 80 nucleotides in length. Their secondary structure includes four short double-helical elements and three loops (D, anti-codon, and T loops).
Source: RNAcentral
GUUCCUGUGGUGAAGUUAGAAUCACACGUCUCUGCGAAGGACGAGCCCCGAGUGCGAAUCUCGGCAGGAACACCA